CAUGCUGAUCGUUUGAAAUUAAAAAAUACAUUAUAUAUCUCUCUAUUCUCUCUACAAAAUUUUGCAGAAACAGCAAAUCAACCAAAAUUUUCAACAGAAUCGAGGCUGUGAAUUAUAAUGGCAAACAAGUACUAUACUGUUGUUGGUGGCGUCGCUAUUCAAAACUCGUACAAGCUCAUCACGGCUGCGACUGGAUUGACCUGUUGUGUAUUCUAUGGUGGUUCGAAAAUUUUGACUUCUCAGUACGGUGUGAAACCUCUGGAUACGACUAUGAGGUUUUUGAAUGGAACUGCGAUGCUGAUGGCUGGAUCCCUGGCGUUUGACGCGUAUGACUUUAAUAAGAAAAUUGCGAGGAUGAGAGACAUGGAUGUGGAGGAGUUUAAUAAGAAGCUUGCGAAGUUGAUAAAGAUGAGAACUGAGAAGAUUCCAAAGCCAUUAGUAUUGUUUUUGACUGCAUACCCUAUGUUCGGGGUUGCUGGAAUCAUUUGCAUUGGCGAACAAUAUGAAACCAUAAAAAAAAAUGACUUUGAAAAAGUCCCAGUCUAGGAUUGAGGAACUUUUUAUUUUCUUGUUUUUCCAAAUUUUAUUUUCCUUUUCAGUUGCUAGGGUAUGAAUAAUUGUUCUGCAAUCGGUUUCCAAGUAUGUUUUCUUUGAAUUCUCGUUUGAUUC
Molecule: non-coding RNA, 669 nt
Organism: Salvia hispanica
Lineage: Eukaryota; Viridiplantae; Streptophyta; Magnoliopsida; Lamiales; Lamiaceae
Source: RefSeq, a predicted model, not a curated record